GCCCCCUUAGCUCAGUUGGCCAGAGCAUCUGUCUUGUAAACAGAGGGUCGCCGGUUCGAAUCCGGCAGGGGGCUCCA
Molecule: transfer RNA, 77 nt
Filed under: Sinomonas atrocyanea
Lineage: Bacteria; Bacillati; Actinomycetota; Actinomycetes; Micrococcales; Micrococcaceae
Also listed under: 6 other names
Description: tRNA-Thr
Rfam family: tRNA
About the family: Transfer RNA (tRNA) molecules are approximately 80 nucleotides in length. Their secondary structure includes four short double-helical elements and three loops (D, anti-codon, and T loops).
Source: RNAcentral